GGACAGGUAGCUCAGAUGGUAGAGCAAUGGACUGAAAAUCCAUGUGUCGGCGGUUCGAUUCCGCCCCUGUCCACGA
This 76-nucleotide transfer RNA is filed under the name Ignavibacteria bacterium. RNAcentral's name for it is "tRNA-Phe". It matches the Rfam family "tRNA". From Rfam's summary of the family: Transfer RNA (tRNA) molecules are approximately 80 nucleotides in length. The record is from RNAcentral. Lineage: Bacteria; Pseudomonadati; Ignavibacteriota; Ignavibacteria.